UGUUUUCCGCCAAUCGGACCAAUCAGAGGUUGGAGGGGCGGGGUGUGACGUCAUGUAGCGCGUAACCUUGAAUUAGUCAAAACAGUUGACAGCAGCAGCCGGCUGUUGGAAACCUACUGGACCUUCUGAGGAAUUAUGCCUAGUUUGGUGGUGGAUGCAGAUAUUGUGACGACGGUAAAUAACUCCGUUUACACAUCUUCAUGAACAAUGAUAGAAUUAUAUGCUAAUCGCGUUUAGCGUGUUAGCAUACAGCAACGUUAGCUGUAAUAGCAGUUGGCUAAUUUCUUUUGCGGUUAUAAACUACAAUGAGCCCGUAAAUAGCUCGUUGGAAGCUGACAUAGAUGAAAAGUGACUGAAUAACUGCUAUGUGUUCUCAUCAGAGGAGAUUGGGACCAGAACACUCCGUGGACCCGCACAGUGUGGACGCACCUGCCGCUGCUGGUGAUUCCACUCAUCUAAGCAUCAUCUUUCUUCAGUCUUCGUCCAGUUCGUCGUCUCAAGUAGUCUCGGGACAUUUGGAGGUGGAGAAGCAGCGUUUGGCAGAGUGAGCAGCCAAGUCUUCAUCUGUUUGUGUGGGAGUAGAGGAGCAUCACGUGUCUUAGGUGGGGGAAUAACUCAUGCUUCAGCUUUGGAGGGAGGUUUUACCCAGAUGCUUCAAGCACUUUGUCUUUGCUAAGGUACAAAGAUUUAUAAACAGCAGAUUGAAUUUGUCUGAAAAUAAAAUGUAUUUUCAUUUUAGGUAAUGAUGCA
RNAcentral lists this long non-coding RNA (750 nucleotides) under Betta splendens (Siamese fighting fish). RNAcentral describes it as "lncRNA (ENSBSLG00000009064.1)". Lineage: Eukaryota; Metazoa; Chordata; Actinopteri; Anabantiformes; Osphronemidae. The record is from RNAcentral.